UUGGGCUUUUUUAUAAAAUGACCCUCUAAAAAAUUAUAAUUGGCAAAAUAACCAUAUGAAAAUUUUAUUUGUAAAACUAACCCUCCUUUCGCCACGUAGGCGCCACGUCAGGAUUUUCUUAUAAAGACGGUGAAUCGUUCGCCGUUUUCUCUUAUUUCUUUUAAAGGCGGUGAAUCGUUCACAGCUUUCUUCCAUUUCUUUUAAAAACGGUAAAUCAUUCACCGCCUUUCACUUAUUUACUGUUUCUUUCUAUAUCUCAUAUAAUCUUAACAAUUUUUAAAUUCUAAUAAUUUAUCCAUAUAAUUUCAUAUAAAAGCAGUUAAGAUUAUAUGAAAUUACAUAUAUAAAUUAUUAGGAUUUAAAAAUUGUUAAGAUUAUAUAUAAUUUGUUUGAAUUUUUAUGUGAUUGUUAGGAUUAUAUAUAGAAUAUAGAAAAUAACAGUAAAUAAGUUAUGGGAGAAAGCGGUGAAUGAUUCACCGUCUUUAAAAGAAAUAGGAGAAGACGGUGAACGAUUCACCGUCUUUAAAAGAAAUGGGAAAACGCGUUGAACGAUUCACCGUCUUUAAAAAAUUCUAAAAAAGAUGGUUAGUUUUACAAAUAAAAUUUUGAGUAAAUUAUUUCGCAAAUUUUAAAAUUUUAGAGGGUUAUUUUAUAAAAAAGUCCUUAUC
RNAcentral lists this long non-coding RNA (668 nucleotides) under Ananas comosus (pineapple). RNAcentral's name for it is "long non-coding RNA (ACOM_LNC015766)". The record is from RNAcentral. Lineage: Eukaryota; Viridiplantae; Streptophyta; Magnoliopsida; Poales; Bromeliaceae.